Molecule: ribosomal RNA, 403 nt
Filed under: uncultured bacterium
Lineage: Bacteria
Description: bacterial SSU rRNA
Rfam family: Bacterial small subunit ribosomal RNA
Source: RNAcentral
UGGGGAAUCUUGCGCAAUGGGCGAAAGCCUGACGCAGCCAUGCCGCGUGGAUGAUGAAGGUCUUAGGAUUGUAAAAUCCUUUCACCGGUGAAGAUAAUGACUGUAGCCGGAGAAGAAGCCCCGGCUAACUUCGUGCCAGCAGCCGCGGUAAUACGAAGGGGGCUAGCGUUGCUCGGAAUUACUGGGCGUAAAGGGAGCGUAGGCGGACAUUUAAGUCAGAGGUGAAAUCCCGGAGCUUAACUUCGGAACUGCCUUUGAUACUGGGUGUCUUGAGUGUGAGAGAGGUAUGUGGAACUCCGAGUGUAGAGGUGAAAUUCGUAGAUAUUCGGAAGAACACCAGUGGCGAAGGCGACAUACUGGCUCAUUACUGACGCUGAGGCUCGAAAGCGUGGGGAGCAAACAG